Molecule: long non-coding RNA, 2425 nt
Organism: Ictalurus punctatus (channel catfish)
Lineage: Eukaryota; Metazoa; Chordata; Actinopteri; Siluriformes; Ictaluridae
Source: Ensembl
AGGGUGCGAUGCAGCCCGACAUUGCUCAUUUUCCUAUAACAGCGUGCCCUGGAGGGCUUUAUUUCUGUAACAUCACAGCAAUAACUGAUCAAUGAACUGCACAGCGUACUUUAUCAGUUUGUAAAGACAUUUAAUAUUGCGGACAAGAGAGACAAGUUCAUGUUAUCACUUCGCAGCUAUAAAUAGUUGCUCCCGCUCCAGACUUUCUUUUUCUCUCGCAAAGUGAAUAAAACAACAACAAAAUAAUACAUGCAUCUUCCCAUGUUACAUCAGUAUGCUCAGUCCUAAAGACGACCGGUGGAAAAAUGACUGACUAUUACAGAGUGCUAACACUGGAGACUUUUUCUUUUCCAUAAAUGUUGAACAAACAUCUUCCAGAAAAUGUCACAUCAAUGAUUAAAAGCGUUCUUCGUUAAAUACAAUUUUUUAAUCAUUCGGCUUAGAUUACAUGAAGAGUAUGCCAUCGAAGUCGUUGUUACUAUAGAAACCAGUACAUAUCAGAGCACAUAAAUAUAAGCACUGCUGUCAGAAAAAAUGAAUUCGAAUUGUCUGACCAAUCAGAAUCGAGAAUCGAACAGUGGUGUGGUAUAACCGUUUUCCAUUCAAGACAUUUCCUCUCUAAAUAAAACGUGGGACGUUUUGUAAAAUUUACCUAUAGCACUGUGUCUCAUCCUCUCUCACACCAUUUCUCUUCCCCUUCCUGUCUGCAGGUAAACAUUAUUUCUCUUGAGUCAGACAGUGUUGUGAAGGAGAAAUUCCAGGGGAAAGGUGGACUCAAGCUGUGAAAAGCGACCACCACAUUCACCAGGGUACUUUAUUUUCAAGCUCCAGCAACUAAGAAGAAAGGAGAGAAUGAGAGGGAGGGAAAUAAGAAGGUACUUUAUAUUUUGAAGGCUUGGGUGAAAAAGAGACUUUGGAAAGAAACUUCAGAUUAAUAGAGGUCAACGAUGUGGAUUUAAAAAAAAACAACAAAAAGCAACAACAUUAACAUAGACAUCAACUUAUAAAUUAAAUAAGAACAAGCCAGUCAAGGACACUGCGUUAGGGAUUUGGUUGUUUUUUUUUCUCCUCCCUGUGUGAAAUAUUCUCCACCACUCACCCGGAUACCUGGAAACCACAGGGACACAAAGCCAGCCAAUCAGCCCUCAUGGGAACUAGAGCCCUGGCCUCUGAUUGGUCAUGUGUGCCCCCUAAGCUCAUUAUUAUAUCAGCGUGUCCUUCACUGUGUUGUCUGGCUACUAUCAGGCCAACGACGUGCCAGCGCUCUCCCCCACAAACAACAUUUUAUUGGAGGAGAAACAGACAGAAAGUGGAUUACUGACAACCAGAAAAUAAGGAUAAAAAAAUACUUAAGUUGUAGAGAUGAGAGAAGAAAUCCAUCUAAUGAUAAUAACACACACAAAAACACGGACCUGGAAAAAGCAUUAAUCAGCAUUUAUCCAUAUGCAAAACAUUCAAGUUCGAAUGUAUAUUUGACAUGCAAAUAUCUGUACAACGUCCGUGUUCACAAACACUGACAACAUGCACGCUCACUGUGAGGACCUUCCACUGGCAAAUCCACUCAUUGUAGCUAAAUAAUACUUUGCCUACAACUAAAUACAACAACCUCAGUAACUAAAAUAUUUUGACACUUAAAUUUUUAAAUAAAAGCUGUAAAAACAAAACAAAAACAAAGAAAAAACUGUUUUUCCUCAUGGGGACCAGCCAAAUGUCCCCAUAAGGCCAAAGCACACACACACACACACACCUGUUGUGGUUGUCUUGAAUAAAGGAACACACACAGACGCUUUCAUCCUUUGCCGUCUCUAAAGUAAAUGAGCUACAGUAAUUGUUUCAUUAUGACUGUCUAUUGAAAUCGUUUCCCUUUUCUCUCCUCCUCCCUUUGUUCUUCACAUCCGGGCUCCUCAUUUCCUUGUUUUUCUCCUGUCAUGUGCUGUUUUUUACUACUAACCUGGUCACCACCUACUAGACCUCCAACACACUCUCACAUGUCUGUAAGGUAAAUAAAACUCAGCAUGACAGUGUUUGUAUUUUUAACAACUUCUUAAGUAAUACAACUUAACUCGCUCUCAGAUCAGUUCUUUCCUCCAUUACUCGAUAUCCACAUCGGGUCAUUCUUUUCUAUAUUUACAGUUCGGACAAUAACAGCAAUCAUGGAAGAGAACAGCCUUCACAUGCAUCAAAGUUGCUAGACCUUUCGGUUCUGGCUAUGAAAAACCACAACACAAGCAGAAGAAGACAUUUUAACAUGACUAGUUCCCAACCCUGGUGCUGGAGCACAGUUAAGUGUUCUCCCAGGUGCUGGAGCACAGUUAAGUGUUCUCCCAGGUGCUGGAGCACAGUUAAGUGUUCCCCCUGGUGCUGGAGCACAGUUAAGUGUUCCCCCUGGUCCUGGAGCACAGUUAAGUGUUCUCCCAGGUGCUGG